This 492-nucleotide ribosomal RNA is filed under the name uncultured bacterium. RNAcentral's name for it is "bacterial SSU rRNA". It matches the Rfam family "Bacterial small subunit ribosomal RNA", at positions 28 to 503 of the family's 1533-position model. The record is from RNAcentral.
GAUAAACGCUGGCGGCGUGCUUUAUGCAUGCAAGUCGAACGGUAUUGAUGUAUCAAGCUUGCUUGGAAUAUCAAGAGAGUGGCAGACGGGUGAGUAACGCGUAAGUAAUCUGCCCCUAAGUAAGGGAUAACCCCGAGAAAUCGGAGCUAAUACCUUAUGUGGUGGUGGGGGUAAUGCUUCAUCACUAAAGCCGCAAGGCGCUUGGGGAGGAGCUUGUGUCCGAUUAGCUAGUUGGUAGGGUAAUGGCUUACCAAGGCGAUGAUCGGUAGCUGGUCUGAGAGGAUGAUCAGCCACACUGGGACUGAGACACGGCCCAGACUCCUACGGGAGGCAGCAGUGGGGAAUAUUGGACAAUGGGGGCAACCCUGAUCCAGCCAUGCCGCGUGUGUGAAGAAGGCCUUAGGGUUGUAAAGCACUUUCAGUGGGGAGGAAGGCUUCUGGCUAAUAACCUGGAGUACUUGACGUUACCCACAGAAGAAGCACCGCUAAUUU